CCUGAUUAACUCAUCUAGGCACUUUUGAACCCUCCCUACCUCAUCCCCAUGCUAUCAUCCCUCCCUAACAAUUGCUUGUCCCUGUGGGUGCCUUAACCAUGAAUGCAAAACUAGAGGCAUAGUUGAGACCACACAAAAAAUAUGGACCAUUAACAUCAAAAGAAAAAGCCAAAAAACAAAAAGGAAGAACUCCCAUUCCUGGGGAAAAGAGGAUUCUGGUGACUUCAAUGAAAAAUGACCAGAUGCCCCAGGAACACACUUCUGGAUCAGUCAGAAACAAAUUGCAGAGGCAGCAUGAAACUUAAAUUGAUCAACGGAAGAAUUCAAAGAUGCAGAAGAAGAGGUGCAAUAUGUAGUGACAACAGUUCUCUGAGUUGUCUGUCAACCUGAAUGUUGAGUCCCAAAGCAUUUUUCUGGACAAACUAAGCUACUGUAAAUAUUUACUGAGGGGAGUGGGGAGACAACACCUCCAAAAGAAGAGCUUAUUAGAGCAGGGGGUGGAGAGGAGGGAGACUAUUCUGACCCUUUGGCCAGCCAGGAUCCAGGAAAUAGAGUUCCAGAUUGGCAUAAAAACUUUGCAUGGCAAUGAGUCUCUCUUAGAAAUCUGUGCCUUUACGUUGAAUAAAGAUCUGAGUGUGGCCUCAAGCAAAUUCAAGCCCAUCAUGCUGGGCAGUGGUACAAGAGGGGGCCUCUUUCUGGCAGGGUGGGGAUGGGAAAUGAAGCCUGGAGAGAAUAGACGGUAGAUCUGAAAGGUCAAACUACAAAGUAAACAAAAAUCAUUUGUAAGUACUGACUGAUAAUAAGCAGUAUUAAUUAACAGUAGAUAGCAUUAAAAAUGAGGAGGAAACACAGCAAGGCCCUCAUUGCAAAAAUACUGUCCACUGCAGUUGCCAUUGAAUUCUUCUGAAAAACCAGGCAAACAUUUUCAAAAGAGAAUGCAGAAGCAGUGCACAUUCACGACUCCAGCUGAAGUCAGAGACUCAGCAUCUCUGAAAAGCAAAUGGAGACAAUUGAAAACCUGACAAGUGUUUGAAUAUGAGAUGCUAGAGGAAACUUAAAUCUAGGGGAAACCUGUGACAAAGCGACUUGUUCCCACAGAAACUGAAGCAACUGACGCUGUCACUAGAAAGGGCUCUGUUUGAGCAAUAAUAGUACACAGCAUUCAAAACUACAGGUAUUUAAGCCCAUGAUUAUGAGGCGAGAUGACUGUUCAUUAGGGCAGCAGAGCCCAACCUCUCUCAUUGUAAGAAACAGAGCGGACCCUGAUGACAAACGUUUCCUUUUACAUUUCCUCCCACAGUCCUUUCCUCAUCCUGGGGUACUGCAUUUAUUUAGCAGAACCUCAGGCUCUCAUAGGCCCUUUCCACCUAGCAUCUCAGGUCAGAAGCAUCUUUCUGAGUCAUUAAACAGCAAGAAAAAAAGAAGCAAACAGUCUAAACCAUCACUAAAUCCCCCUCCUCAGCUCUUUUGGCCACAGUCCCUGUACAGGCCUUCUGGCAUAUUCUGCUGAUCUCGCUAGGGCCUUUCCUAGCAACGGCCAGAAAGUUAUAUACUUCCUGAUGUGUAGGGCUAAUUAACAAGGGCCAUCUCCUAAAUGUUUAACCCCUGCUGGUCCUGGAUACCACCCUGUAGUGUGUAGAGAAGGGUAGUACGUUUUAUUUCCGGGGACCAAAUUAUGGUGCUUUCACUAUGGCUGGUUUCUCCCCCUGAACGCUGAAAGAGCCAUCACAGUAGCCUUUUUCAAAGACGAGGCCAGUAUAGAAGUGUUCAGAAUAGAUAACUAUAAUUAUAGUUACAGGGACAGAGCCUCAACUAGUGUAAAUCGGUGUGUCACUCCAUCAAAGUCAAUGGAACUAUGCCACCAUCUGAGGAUCUAGCAUGAUAAUUAGGUAAAGGGUUGAUGCAAUGGCACAAUGUGGAAGUUAUUACCGUUAGACAAAGAGUGUUGCUAUUAUUGCAGGUGGCAUUUCCACUUAGCUUCAGUGUAAGCUCUUACCUUGAAUGUCUGGGUUUUGAUCAGUGAUUCUUAUACUGUGGGCCAUGCAGAGCUGGUAGCAUGCAGGCUGCAACCAGGUGGUAGCUAUGCUGAUUAAACUAUACUGAUUAAAAUUACAAUGGCGGCACACCAAGGGCUUAUGGAAGUUUAGAUUUGGUGUGCUAGUGCUUAACAUUGUAGAAUGACUGUUUUAGAUUAACAGAAUCAAUAAAAGUCUAAAAAGAUAUUUAAUGGACAUGAGGUGUCUACCAUAAAUACAAUAGUCUGGGAUUUGAUCUAUUUUUUAUUUUAUUUUGAAACAGUGUUUUAUGUAUGGCUGUUUUUCUACUUGCACCACAAUUUUGUAGAAUUAUUAUUCUUCAUGGCUAUCUCCAAUUUGUAUGUUAUUAUUAUGGAGAUGAAGCAAGAUGUGGUAUCUGUUACAUUAAGUCAGCUCUCAGUUUUCUGCAUGCCUUUUUAUUAUAGUUCAUUAUCGUUCUUUUUUAAAAAAAGUUAGUUCCAAGCAGCUAAUUGUUGUUGGCUGCAUACAGUACCUAGAUAAUGUAUUUAACUAUAUUUAUAUCAUAUGAAGUAUGUAUUUAGUUAAUCAAUUGUAAAGUUUUCAUUAAA
Molecule: long non-coding RNA, 2605 nt
Organism: Mauremys reevesii (Reeves's turtle)
Lineage: Eukaryota; Metazoa; Chordata; Testudines; Geoemydidae
Exons: 3
Source: RefSeq, a predicted model, not a curated record